CUGUGCUCCGCAACGGGAGAGGCCACGACAGUGAGAGGCCCGUGUAUUGCAAAAAACAAACAAACAAAAAAAACCCGGAUCCUGGUCCUGCCCAGCACAGAGAGACACGCCAAUAAGGCUUGUAUGUUCACUUCCAGAAGCCUCAAAUGGCCAGCCCCAGUGUGGUGGCGCGGCUCCUCCUCUGAGCGGAGAAAUGGGGGACAGGGUGGCAGAAAGACAAGAAAGAAACUUCCCGAGAUCUGGAGUUAUCCCGUUCAUCUAGGUGUGCAGGCCACGUGGCAGAUAGGACAAACUGAGUCCUGGAGGGCUCAGCUUUCCCACAGUAACCCAGCCAGCCAGUGGUACAGCCAGGGUUCUACAGCCAUUGGAGGAUAGAAACUGGAGCACAGAGAGGCGAAGGUCUUGCCCAAGGUCACACAGCAAUUCCAUAGCAGAGCCAGGAUGCAGGGACUCCAGGUCCUAUCUCUUCUGGCUGUCAGCCUGGUAAAGCUGCCCAGCUCUUUCACCCACUUUUGGCCUGUGCUGGGCGAGAGGUGGAGCGGGUGGGAUGAGGAGAGGCAGCGUGAUCUAAGAACUCCACUCAGGCCCAGACACUAGGACUGAACCGGUCCCCCUUGCGCCCUGGCGAGCCCACCCCAGAGAGACAGCACCUGCGAGUACAGCCGUGCCCAGGGUGGGAAGCCAGGCGUGGGGCUCGGCCUUCUGCACAUGUGAUCUCAUUGAACCCUCAGGCAACCCUGUGAGUUGAGCACCUCCGCUGUUUUCGAUUUUUCCAGAGAGGAAACUGGGGUGAGUAGGACCAAGGCCUCGGGACUCGCAGUCCAGUGCUCCAACCCACGGCGCUCAAGGCGGGAGGGGCCUGGCGGAGCGCCACACGGGGCGGGGCGCGGGGGCGGGCCCCUCAUCCCGGAUGCGCCCCCAGCCGGCUGGAGCUGCCCCGCGGGGUUCCCAGAGCAGGGCUGAGCAGGAAGACGGAACAAUGGGCAGCGGCUGCAGCGGGGCUGCUGGUUUCCGGAGCAGGGGUGGGGCGGGCUGGGGCCUGGCGGCCACAAAGACUGUGGGAACGAGGUGCCUGCGCAGGAGACUAAUGAGAUUAACGACUAACAUCUUUUGAGCACUCACUGUAUGCCAGGACCUGCUUUCAACGCUUUAGAGGAAUCCGCACCUUAUCCCUAUUUAGCCCCAUUUCACAGAUGAAGAAAUUGAGGCACAGAGAGUUUAAAUAAAAUGUCCAAGACUGCUGCACCCAAGCUCCUCCCACAGAGAGUUUCCCGAGACAGCAGGCUGGUGGGUUCGUGCUUGCCCGGUUCCCAGCGUUGAACACAAGGUGAGGAAACACUGCAGGUUUCGUAGGAUCCGGUUGGGUGAAGACUGGCCCUUCCCAGCGCCGCGGGAGACACGGGAAGACCCAGCCUGGCCAGCGGUGGUGGCUCCAGAAUCUGCAGAAGGCCUGGGUAGCUGGAGCAGGUGGAGGCGCCGGGCUGGGACUUGCAUUUUAUACGAGAUUAAGGCGUCAAAGUGGCACCGCCGACUGGGAAGGCACGUGAGAAUCUAGGGCACCUCUUACUCCCAACUGAGACAGACUGGGAUCCCCAGGUGCAGCAGGGAUGAGGCGGGGGACUGUUAAAGCCACUCCACUACAUCUGCUGGGAGAAAGCCCUUUUCCCAAAGAGGCUGAUGGGGCUUCUCCUCCAAACAUGAUGGACCAGCUGGAGACCCCCCUCCCGAAGCCUUCUUGCCCUCACAAGGUCAGCUGGGAGCACUGGAUGGGGAACCAGGAUACCUGAGAUCUGUGCUCUGGUUUUAUCCCCGUCGGGGGCUGCUGUAUGGCUUUGGACCAAUCAUUCUCCCUCUCUGGGCCUCUAGCUUCCCAUCCCUACCACACCAGGGACCUCCAAGGACUCUUCCCACUCUGACAGGUGGUCUGACAACAGCACUUUCCCUUUCUGGGGCCACCUGAGCUGCCCAGGUGUAUGAUCUGGUACAAGUCACCUCUCUGAACCUUCCUUUCAUCACCAAUUAUUAUCUUCCAAAGGCUGUAAUUUGGGGGUCACCCAGCAUCCACUAUCCCUUCUUAUGGUAUCAACCCCCAAUUUUCUUCAGGGGAAGCCUUCCUCCUCCCACCUCAGCCUCGUGCAGUGGGUGGAGUUGAGUCUACCCCUGACUACAAGGGGAUGAGAGUGACCAGGCCAGGCCGACACCCGAGUUCCAUUCCCCGAGGCUCCGGUGAACUGUCCAGGGGGUAGUCAUGCAGCCCUGUUCCCGUCACCAGCAGUCGGGCUUAGGACUUGUCCCAAAUGUUGAGAAGAAUGGAAGCAUCAAACCUGGGAGGGCUGGCGGCUGGAGUUGCCUCUGCUGGGAAUGGAGCCUUUGCAGAGCAGACAGAGCUGGGGACUGGGGCGUCAGGGCUUGGCGCCGUAGCCUGAGCCCUCCAGUCCAGCUGUGCCUGAAGCCUACUGCCUACCCUUAGGUUUUCCUUGUCCAAGAGCCAAUAAAAUACCUUUUUCACUUAAACCAGUUUGAAGUGGAUCUUCUGGUGCUCACAACCUAAAGAAUCAUGACCAUUUUGGGGUUUACUUGAUUCUAUGACACCAUCAAUUGUAAGAUUUUUUUUAAGAAAAAUAUAUCUACAGUAUUUAAUAACUUCUCGGUGAAAAAAAGCAUAUUAGGUGUGCCCUUUAAAAAUGGAGAGUAGUAUGUUUUUAGUUCUAAAAUUGCACAUCACAGUCACUUUGGUGACUUGAUCAAAGUGCUUCACAUUCUUUGGAUGAAUCCGCAAUCUUUAUUUUGCCUGCCUGAUGAUAGCCUUUUGAACACUCAGUAACCUUUUAUUUCCAUGUGGCAUCACUUUAGAAGUCACUUUAAGUGAUAAUUAAGGAUCCAAUCUGGUAAAAUUCCAUCAGGUUGGAUCUCAGCCACCCGAGCAACUGGAAGCAGACAGUGAGGACACCAAACUCCCCCUCUGCCUGCUGGCUGGCAUGUUCCUUGGACAUCAGUUGUGGGACACAUCCUCAUUCCAGAACCAGUGAAAUGUGUGUGUGGGACCCAUGUGUCAGAACUACUGUAGUUACUAUCAUAACUAUGAGACGUUUGCUGUGGGACAGGCACUGAGCUAAGCAGAACGAGAAAUGCUUCCAAAAAAAGUGAAUCCGAGAAGUUUGGAGUGUGAUCUGUACAUGGAGCGAUGGCGUGAGGUCAUUCGGGCUCCGUUUCUGCUCCUCACGGUCACAGCGCUGUCAACUGCUUAUUCACUUGCUGUUCAGGUGCGGGGGUGUGCAGAACACCGGAGGGAGCACCAGCUGUGUCUGGAAUAACACCCCGCUCAUUGCCUGCACUGCACAGCCUCCCCUUGCCCACCCUUGGCCCUCCACUGUGCUCAUUCCCUAGUGGUCACAUCUGUCAAUAAUUUCCCUUGUGUCUCUGAGAUUCUGUUUCUUGAUUAAGCAGGCUCUUUCCAAAGAUUUACUUUAAUCUUAUAUUCUUCAACAACAACAACAGUAUAAGCAAUUGGUGCAACAUGGUGGUAACUGUAGAAGAGAGAGUGAGGAGUUUGAACUAGUUGUCUCUAUGGACUGGCUGGGGUAAGGGCCAGGCAGGAAAGGAGGACUCCUUCCCUCACGGUCCAGCCUGAAAAUCACACUGAUAAAGUGUGUCCUGAACCUGACCGCUUCCUUACUACCCUCGCUCCUACCAGUCGGGUCAAGGCCUCCUUCAUCUCUGGCUGAAGCAACCCCAACAGCCAGCUCCUUGGUGUGUGCUUCCCUCCUUACCCCCGUUUCAAUUAUCCAUGGCUGUGAAAUAAACCACUUUAAAACCCGGGUCUUAAGUCUCACAGUUCUGUGGUUUCCCUGAGCUGAGGUGGUUGUUCGUUUAUGUGCUGUUCCAUUAUCCUAGAACAGUUUUCCUCCCAGCCUUCAGCUGGCUACUUCGCCACUCUCCUCACUGCCAUCACACUCUGGAUACCUGACAUUAUUUAUUUGUGCAUGUUUUGGAACUCCACUAGAACGGAAGGUCCUUGCGGGUGGCACCUUUCUCUUUCCUAUCCUGUACUCACUUCUAACACCUAGAACAGCACUGAUCACAGGGAUGGCAUACCAUAAUAUAUAUACUCUGUGGUUAACUGAAUUUAUUUCCCUAAAUCUUGGGAAUCUAUUGCUUUGAGAAAUAUACAAAUUAAUUCUAAACUAGGAAAAACUACAGUGGCAUUUGGCAGACAGAUCCAACAAUAUAUCAGACCUACACACUCACUAGCAAAUAUUUCCACCUUCCUAAUAAAAGCUGACAGCUGUUUUCCCGUGUACUCUAAAGGGCAGCUGCUGCAAAGCCUGGCUUCUGAUGGUUUGUAAUCAAUCUGCCCGAUGCAUGUAGGGAACUCGGGGAACUCAGAAGACCCACUCUGGGCAGAAGCCAGGGGAGUGCUGCCCUUGGCAUUUUAAUUUUAAUGCAUUUUUGCUGUCAGCUGUCUCUUAUUAAUUCACUGAAUUUAAUUAGAGAGCUGAACAAGAAUCCCUCAACUCUGCUUUCUCGGUGGUUCCUAAGAACACGGUUCAGUCCAAGGCUGUCAACCAAAGUGAACCCACAUUUAUCCAGGAAGCAGGUGCAUGCUGAGGGCAGAAUUCUUACAGACACACAUCCCACAUGUGUCAAAGACAAAUCUAAGUUCAAGAUAAAGUUAAUAAAGCCUGUUUAUUCAGAAACUUGCAGCAUGGGAACUCUUUUGCUGUCACCUUUGCUUCAGCAGCAGUUCAAAGGUGUCAGGGAGUAUAUUUUAUUGAAUAAAAAGGAAAUACCGACGCGGUAUCUCAUUGGAAAACGUUCCCGUAAGGCAGGAUUUGUGGAACGAGGGACAGACUAACCGGUCAAGUACAUUUGGCCAUCCUCGGUUAGCUGCAAGGGGCCAGGCAGUUUCGGGACAUUUCAAAAGAGGAAGGGGCAGAGGGUGUGUGGCCAUCCCUUUCCUGGAACAAACAGGGGUCAGUAGAACGCUUUUUUGUAGUCAAAACUGUCAUCCUGGUUAUUGGGGGGCAGGGGAGGUGUGUGGCCACAUGAUAAUUACAGUUUUAGAGCUGGAAGUUAUCUUAAAGUUCACCUGGUCACUCUGACCUACCAUGCAUGCCCCAGCCCCCACCCCGAAUCCAUUCAACAAAUGGAAACACUCAGAAACAGGGUAGUUCAGUGCCUAAGCUGUAGCAAAGGUCAGAAGCAGAAUUAGAGUUCUCCUGAAUCUUAGGACUGUGAAUAUAACUGUCAUGCUUCUCAAAAAUAAAACAAAAACGAAGAAAAGGAAAAUAAAGUCAGUAGAUCCUGGAUACCGUUCUGGGGCUCAGAGGCGCUGGGCUUCAGGGGAGCCAGCACUGGGGAAGGGGUGAUGUAUCUCUGGUCCAGAUCAGUCAAUUCUCCACAGAUUUAAUUCUGAGCAAGGACCAUGAGGGAAAAGUGGGUGGGUGGAUGGGUGGGUGGGUGUCUCGAAAAAGAAAGUGCUUGUUUUUUAAGGAGACCAUGGAAGAGACAACCCAUUUUCUGCCAUGCGACGUAGGUGGGGUUUGUUUUCGGUGUGUGGGAAGAGGCUUAUACAACUUGGCAACACGAACUGAAAGUCAUAAAAAUCUUUUGACCCUACAGCCCUCCUUCUAGUGUUUUAUCCUAUAGAAUCAAGAUAUUUAGGAAAGAAAAAAACUACAUGUUUAAAGAUGUAUACUGACUUUUUAAUAAAAGCAAAAGAUUGGAAAUAACCUAAGUAACCAACAAUAGGGUGUCAGGAAACGUGAAAGACUUUGAAAGAGCUUCCCUCCCUCCCCAGUUACUGGGUGUUCCAUUUACCCAUCCACCCUCCACCCUUCUGGGUUGUCUCCACCUUUCACUCUCUUUAAGCUACCUUACAAUGACGUACAUUGAGGGAAACUGAUAAUGCAGACGAUUCUUGUGCAGAGAAAUGCAGAUUUCAUCCAGUGGAAUUUAACUGAUUGUCUGUGGAUACUGGCCAAUUUUGCCAGUUUUGUAUAUAUUAAGCAAAUUCAUUUCAGCAUUCCUACUGGACUUAUUAUUAAAACGUCUUACUGGUUCUCUCAUUAAUUAAUGAGUUAACUAAAGUCUUUAACAUGUUCAUUUUGUAUUUGAGUCAUGAUUUUACUUCCUAAAAACAUUUGUCCUUUAACAAGGUGGUUAAGGGAAAUUCCCUGGCGGUCCAGUGGUUAGGACUUGGCGCUUUCACUGCCGGGGCCCAGGUUCAAACCCUGGUCGGGGAACUAAGAUCCUGCAAGCCAUGGACAAAAAAAAAAGGCAGUUAAAUUUAGUGUAUUCAUUUGAUUUUAUUUACAGCCCUCUUAAGAUAGUUAUAAAGACCUUACAGCAACAAGAACAAAUAUUCUUAAUCAAAAACAUUCAGCGGAGAAAAAACCAGAAUGCAAAAUUUAUACUAGGC
Aethalodelphis obliquidens (Pacific white-sided dolphin) is the source of this 6421-nucleotide long non-coding RNA. RefSeq lists it as uncharacterized. The record is from RefSeq and is a predicted model, not a curated record. Lineage: Eukaryota; Metazoa; Chordata; Mammalia; Artiodactyla; Delphinidae. The transcript has 5 exons.